CCAUUGUAUAGCAUUCACUCCAUUCUUUAGGGCAAGAACUAGGGCGGCACAAAAGCAAGAAGUGAAAGAGAAAAAUCAACCAAAAGUGGAGAGAUUUUGGGAAAGUCUUGACCAAGCCAUUGCCAUGAAUCCAACCAAAAGACGAGUUUUAUCAUUAGUCUUUUAUUUUAUACUUUAUUUUCUCUAAUUUGUAAUGUAUUUCUCUAACUAUUCUCGUUUUAUCAUUUAGAUAAAAUGAGCAAAAUUCUUAAUAUUGGGAUGAUUGAUGUAGCUUAACCUACUUUACUAUUUCAA
RNAcentral lists this long non-coding RNA (294 nucleotides) under Olea europaea subsp. europaea. Lineage: Eukaryota; Viridiplantae; Streptophyta; Magnoliopsida; Lamiales; Oleaceae. The record is from RNAcentral.